RNAcentral lists this ribosomal RNA (508 nucleotides) under uncultured bacterium. RNAcentral describes it as "bacterial SSU rRNA". It matches the Rfam family "Bacterial small subunit ribosomal RNA", at positions 8 to 518 of the family's 1533-position model. The record is from RNAcentral.
AGAGUUGUAUGGCUCAGGACGAACGCUGGCGGCGCGCCUAACACAUGCAAGUCGAACGGAGGUAUUGAGACGGAAGCUUCGGCGGAGGACUCAAUACUUAGUGGCGAACGGGUGAGUAACACGUGAGGAACCUGCCUUUAAGAGGGGGAUAACACUUAGAAAUAGGUGCUAAUACCGCAUAAGACCACAUAGCGGCAUCGCUGAGGGGUCAAAGGAGGAAUCCGCUUAAAGAUGGCCUCGCGUCCGAUUAGGUAGUAGGCGGGGCAACGGCCCACCUAGCCGACGAUCGGUAGCCGGACUGAGAGGUUGAACGGCCACAUUGGGACUGAGACACGGCCCAGACUCCUACGGGAGGCAGCAGUGGGGAAUAUUGGGCAAAUGGGGGAAACCCUGACCCAGCGACGCCGCGUGAGGGAAGAAGGUUUUCGGAUUGUAAACCUCUGUCUUCGGGGACGAUAGUGACGGUACCCGAGGAGGAAGCCACGGCUAACUACGUGCCAGCCGCCGC